UACGUAGGGUGCAAGCGUUGUCCGGAAUUAUUGGGCGUAAAGAGCUCGUAGGCGGUUCGUCGCGUCGGCUGUGAAAACCUGAGGCUCAACCUCAGGCCUGCAGUCGAUACGGGCGGACUUGGGUACUGCAGGGGAGACUGGAAUUCCUGGUGUAGCGGUGAAAUGCGCAGAUAUCAGGAGGAACACCGGUGGCGAAGGCGGGUCUCUGGGCAGUAACUGACGCUGAGGAGCGAAAGCGUGGGGGAGCGAACAGG
Molecule: ribosomal RNA, 254 nt
Filed under: uncultured bacterium
Lineage: Bacteria
Description: partial 16S ribosomal RNA
Rfam family: Bacterial small subunit ribosomal RNA
Source: RNAcentral